Molecule: non-coding RNA, 45 nt
Organism: Schistosoma curassoni
Lineage: Eukaryota; Metazoa; Platyhelminthes; Trematoda; Strigeidida; Schistosomatidae
Source: Rfam
AUCAAGCUGACGAGUGAAAAAUAGGACGAAACGUACGUCCUGGAU